AGGGAAUCUUGCGCAAUGGGCGAAAGCCUGACGCAGCCAUGCCGCGUGAAUGAUGAAGGUCUUAGGAUUGUAAAAUUCUUUCACCGGGGAAGAUAAUGACGGUACCCGGAGAAGAAGCUCCGGCUAACUUCGUGCCAGCAGCCGCGGUAAUACGAAGGGGGCUAGCGUUGCUCGGAAUUACUGGGCGUAAAGGGCGUGUAGGCGGAUAUCUAAGUCGGGGGUGAAAGCCCAGGGCUCAACCCUGGAACAGCCUUCGAUACUGGAUAUCUUGAGUACGGGAGAGGUGUGUGGAACUCCGAGUGUAGAGGUGAAAUUCGUAGAUAUUCGGAAGAACACCAGUGGCGAAGGCGACACACUGGCCCGUUACUGACGCUGAGGCGCGAAAGCGUGGGGAGCAAAC
This 400-nucleotide ribosomal RNA is filed under the name uncultured bacterium. RNAcentral's name for it is "bacterial SSU rRNA". It matches the Rfam family "Bacterial small subunit ribosomal RNA", at positions 356 to 773 of the family's 1533-position model. The record is from RNAcentral.